This 552-nucleotide ribosomal RNA is filed under the name Tinca tinca (tench). RNAcentral's name for it is "partial 16S ribosomal RNA". It matches the Rfam family "Bacterial large subunit ribosomal RNA", at positions 1845 to 2596 of the family's 2925-position model. The record is from RNAcentral. Lineage: Eukaryota; Metazoa; Chordata; Actinopteri; Cypriniformes; Tincidae.
AUAGGAGGUCCAGCCUGCCCAGUGACUACGGGUUCAACGGCCGCGGUAUUUUGACCGUGCAAAGGUAGCGCAAUCACUUGUCUUUUAAAUAGAGACCUGUAUGAAUGGCUAAACGAGGGCUUAACUGUCUCCCCCUUCAAGUCAGUGAAAUUGAUCUAUCCGUGCAGAAGCGGGUAUAAAAAUACAAGACGAGAAGACCCUUUGGAGCUUAAGGUACAAAAUUCAACCACGUCAAGAAAUUCAAUAAAAAACAAAAACUUAGUGGAUUAUGAACUUUUACCUUCGGUUGGGGCGACCACGGAGGAAAAACAAGCCUCCGAGUGGAAUGGGUUAAAUACCUAAAACUAAGAGAAACAUCUCUAAGCCACAGAAAAUCUGACCAAAAAUGAUCCGGCUUAAUGCCGAUCAACGAACCAAGUUACCCUAGGGAUAACAGCGCAAUCCUCUCCCAGAGUCCAUAUCGACGAGGGGGUUUACGACCUCGAUGUUGGAUCAGGACAUCCUAAUGGUGCAGCCGCUAUUAAGGGUUCGUUUGUUCAACGAUUAAAGUCC